GAAAUGCGAUAAGUAGUGUGAAUUGCAGAAUUCAGUGAAUCAUCGAAUCUUUGAACGCACAUUGCGCCCUUUGGUAUUCCAAAGGGCAUGCCUGUUCGAGCGUCGUUUGUACCCUCAAGCUUUGCUUGGUGUUGGGCGUCUUGUCUCUAGCUUUGCUGGAGACUCGCCUUAAAGUAAUUGGCAGCCGGCCUACUGGUUUCGGAGCGCAGCACAAGUCGCACUCUCUAUCAGCAAAGGUCUAGCAUCCAUUAAGCCUUUUUUCAACUUUUGACCUCGGAUCAGGUAGGGAUACCCGCUGAACUUAAGC
Molecule: unclassified non-coding RNA, 307 nt
Filed under: plant metagenome
Description: partial contains 5.8S ribosomal RNA, internal transcribed spacer 2, and large subunit ribosomal RNA
Rfam family: 5.8S ribosomal RNA (bases 1-105)
Source: RNAcentral